GGCAGUUUGGCGGAGUGGUCUAACGCGCUAGACUGUGAGUACACCCAUCAGAAAGUGUUCCAGAGUCAUUACUAAUCAUAUAACAGUGAAUCAAGCUUCGAGUUAUCUAGUCCAUUCGUGGGCGCAGGUUCGAACCCUGCAACUGUCG
This 148-nucleotide transfer RNA is filed under the name Penicillium expansum. It matches the Rfam family "tRNA". Rfam says of the family: Transfer RNA (tRNA) molecules are approximately 80 nucleotides in length. The record is from Rfam by way of RNAcentral. Lineage: Eukaryota; Fungi; Ascomycota; Eurotiomycetes; Eurotiales; Aspergillaceae.